UACAGAGGGUGCGAGCGUUGUCCGGAAUCACUGGGCGUAAAGGGCGCGUAGGUGGCCUGGUAAGUAGGGGGUGAAAUCUCGCGGCUCAACUGCGAGGCUGCCUCCUAAACUGUCAGGCUCGAGCAGAGUAGAGGCAGGUGGAACUCCUGGUGUAGUGGUGAAAUGCGUAGAGAUCAGGAAGAAUACCCGUGGCGCAAGCGCCCACCUGGCCGAGACCUGACGCUAAGGCACGAAAGCGUGGGGAGCGAACCGG
This 253-nucleotide ribosomal RNA is filed under the name uncultured bacterium. Its description in RNAcentral is "partial 16S ribosomal RNA". It matches the Rfam family "Bacterial small subunit ribosomal RNA", at positions 524 to 776 of the family's 1533-position model. The record is from RNAcentral.